Molecule: ribosomal RNA, 468 nt
Filed under: uncultured bacterium
Lineage: Bacteria
Description: partial 16S ribosomal RNA
Rfam family: Bacterial small subunit ribosomal RNA
Source: RNAcentral
GAUGAACGCUGGCGGCGUGCUUAACACAUGCAAGUCGAACGGAAAGGCCCUGCUUUUGUGGGGUGCUCGUGUGGCGAACGGGUGUGUGACACGCGUGUAACCCGCCCUUGUCUUUGGGAUAACUUCAGGAAACUGGGGCUAAUAUCGGAUAGGAGCUCCUGCUGCGUGGGGGGGGUUGGAGAGUUUCGGCGGUUGUGGAUGGACUCGCGGCUUAUCAGCUUGUUGGGGGGGUAGUGGCUUACCAAGGCUUUGACGGGUAGCCGGCCUGAGAGGGUGACCGGCCACAUUGGGACUGAGAUACGGCGCAGACUCCUACGGGAGGCAGAAGUGGGGAAUAUUGCACAAUGGGCGGAAGCCUGAUGCAGCGACGCCGCGUGCGGGAUGACGGCCUUCGGGUUGUAAACCGCUUUCGCCUGUGACGAAGCGUGAGUGACGGUAACGGGUCAAGAAGCACCGGCUAACUACGUG